UGUAAUGUCAUUGACCGACUUAUCACACGUAGGGUUUCUAAUUGGAUUAUGGUUAUUAUUACUAAAAAUCGGUUUUGGUGUUAAUUUUGUUAACUGAAAAUACAAUUAGUCACCAAAAUGUGGAUAGACGAGGCGGACGGCUUUGCCGAGAUUUUUAAGGGCUAUCUGCCCUACUAUUUGCUUGUGGCUCUGCCUAUUUUUAUCAUAAUGUCUCCUGUUAACCCGGUUGCGGCUUCUCAUGAGUUCUCGGUGUAUAGAAUGCAACAUUACGACUUACACACUGUUCCCCACGGAUGCCGCAGCGCCAGCUUUAACCUGGAAGGUCGUUCCCUAACAUCAUGGAGCACAUCUCGUCACUGCGUCGUCGCCAGGGUACAGGACAUCACCAUUGAUCAGUUCAUGGAGAUCCGCAGCAAAGCGGGAGCCUUGCUGCUGGUGCUGCCUAAGAACGAUACAGUUCUUACGGUUGAAGAGAAAGAGCAUAUCCAACUCCUGGAGAUGGCAAUGAUCCAGCAGGAAGUGAAUGCUCCGGUCUACUUCGCUCGCUGGACUCCAGAGUUUGAGGAUAUCCUCCGAGACCUGCAGCACAGCUUUAUUACUGACGACAAGUCUGGAACGGCUCUGGAAGCUAUGUUGAACACUGUGUCUUCUAAUGGCUAUCAGAUUGUGGUAUCAGCAUCAACUCCUCAGAAACUGGACUCAAAGCCGGUGACUUUGCAUGGAAAGCUGGUGGGUCGGUCCGGAUCAGCUCAGACCAUUGUCAUUGCAGCUCACUAUGAUUCCUCCGCUAUUGUUCCAGAAUUAUCCCAAGGCGCAGACUCAAACGCAUCAGGCGCAGUUGCAGUACUAGAACUGGCUCGAAUCUUCUCCCGUCUCUACUCUACGGCCUCAGUCAGAGGUGCACCGUCGCUACUGUUCGUGCUGACGUCAUUAGGACACUCACUCAAUUACUUCUCCGCUAAGAAGUGGCUUGAAGAACAGUUGGAUUCCACUGACGCGUCGUUGUUACAAGACGUAUCCUUCGUAAUGUGCCUGGACUCCCUCUCCUCAUCCGACAGUAUGACAAUGCAUGUCUCCAAGCCGCCCAAGCCGGGCGGAGCCGCGCAUUCACUCAAGUCAAGACUAGGAGUUAAUAUUAACCAUAAGAAGAUCAACCUAGCUGAUGAACUGUUGGCGUGGCAGCAUGAGAGAUUCAGUAUUAGACGGAUGACUGCUUUCACGUUGAGUUCGCUACAGAGUCACAAGGACCCAUCCCGCAGCACAGUGCUGGACCUUCCCUCAGAGGCCGGCAUCAGGAACUUGGCCGCCAACAUCGCGGCGACUGCGCGGGCACUCGCCUCGCAUGUGUACAACCUUACUGACGAGCUCAACGAUGAGGAUCGAGCCUUGUAUGAUGAUGCACUGGGCGUGGACGAGGCGUCAAUAAGACAUUGGUACAAGUACUUAUCGUCGCAGUCGAGAGCACCACAGAUUAUCACCACUACAGCACCCGGCGCAGGAGUGACAGGCGCAUUAUCACGUGCACUAUCCCGCUACAUGGAGGUGUCGACGUCAGUGCACGCGGUGGACAAGCGCGAGCCCGAGUACGCGCUCUACGGCGCCACACGAGCCGCGCUAUAUGUGUACAGCGUAAAACCAGCAGUAUUCGACCUAAUACUGACACUAGCGAUCGUAGCAUAUUUAACCGUGGUAUACUUCGCGAUCCAACUAUUCCCUCGCUUCUACGAAGAAUACGCGAAGAUAGUCACGGGCAAAUCCAAAGUACACUAGUUUAGUCUAAUGUGGUGUGGUAAGUGUUUUCCUACCUUUAUUUAUAGCUGGGCAAGUGAUGUGUAUAGGUGACAGUCGCUAGAUGUAGUGUUGGUCGUAGUUAGAAAAUAUAACAGGUGUGUUAUCGAUUUGAAAUUGGGAUUUUUUGUAAGAACUAUUGAAACUUAAUACUCAAGAACAGCGCUAAGAUUAAUACAUGACACUUUAAAACAUGUUUUUUGGCUCUAACUCCAAACCGGAACGAGGAAGUUUCAAAACAUAAUCAUCUCCCGAGCCUUUUCCCAACUAUGUUGGGGUCGGCUUCCAGUCUAACCGGAUUCAGCUGAGUACCAGUGCUUUACAAGAAAAGACUGUACACUGCGACUGUGCAGUAGAAUUUCUCUUCUCUCGAAUACUACUGAGUCGGCGGAGACGAGAUAUUAUAAAUAACGAAAUUCUAUUGGUUGUUUUAAAACUUCACAAUUGCCAUGAAAUUGUAAAGUUUGAAAUCGAUAUCACUAAAAGGAUUGGAUCUAUAGAGAAAAAGAAGUUAACAUGUUGAAUUAAUGUUACAAUUUAUGCAUUUAUCUCAAAUUAGUUUCAAAGUACCUGUACACUUCACUAGUGUAGCUAUUAUCCUAAACUUUCAUGAAAAGGUAUGUGACUUUGUAAACGACUUUCUAUGUACUACACUUGUUAUCCUAGUAAUAUUAUAAACGCGAAAGUUUGUAUGUAUGGAUGUAUGGAUGUUUGUUACUCUUUCACGCAAAAACUACUGAAUGGAUUUUAAAGAAACUUUACAAUAAUAUAGCUUAUACAUCAGAAUAACACAUAGGCUACAAUUUGUAAACAUAUUGUUCGAAAUACUAAACCUGCGCAGACGAAGUCGCGGGCACCAGCUAGUUAUCUAUAAAUCACACUCACUGUCUUAUACGCGUUUAUCGCUAGAUUGUUUAUUUUUUAUGAUAUAAGUAUCCUUCAUGGACUGAACGAACCUAUGUUACACAGGUUUUAUUCGAAAAGUAAAUUAAAAUAACUUUACAGAAAUUUUCAAAGCCAAAAUACAAUGAUUUAACGACAAAAUCGUAUUGACACGUUAAACUAAAAAUAUAAUCGAGAAUGCAUUUUAUAAUGUAGGUAGUACAUAGAAGUUAUUUUCUCAAAAGAAAAUCGGCAAUACUCUUGUGUUACCACAUUUCCCGCACCACGGUGAAGUCAAUCCUAGUAAUAAGUGUUGAACAAUUUCAUUUACAUACUAAAGAGUAAGUUUUCACAAAUAAUUUAUGAGAAAAAAAGUAAAAGAAUAAUUUUCAAUAAUAUUGUUUAUUUAUAAAGCAGACUAUAUUGUUAACUGGUGGGAUAAGUAUUGCCAGUGGAAUAAAUUUCUAAAACCGUUUGGCAAAAAAAAACCUUGUCUGUGGGUCAAAUUUUACCAAUCGAACAUUUACCUUCCACUGUUGUGAUAAGGUGGAAAAUCUAUUGAAGAGAUUUGACAGAUUUAGGUAGGUUGAUAUGCUGUCGUUUGUACCUAUUUUCAGUCUACAGUCACGUAAUCUAUGGCGGUUGAUAACAUUUUCGUACUUUUAUAAUUUUCAACGCGGAAACUUGCCACAUGAAAAAAUAAUUUAAUCUACAAUGGCGUCUGUAUUCCACUGGCAACACUUAGACCCGCCAUCUUGAAAAGUGGAAGAAUUCUUUAUUUUUGAAUUACAGCAGUUUACCAAGAAGUCUAUAUCGUACAUAGAAUAAGGUCGAAAGCAAUAUUUCCAAGAUUACAAAUUAAGAAUAAAUAAAUAAAAAUGUGAAAGAUAUAAUUUAUUUAAAAAGAUGCGUGUAUUUAUCUCAGCUAAGUAUUAUUCUGAUUUCGAGAUGUCCAUUAUGCCAAAUUAUUAUAAAAUAAUUUAUUGAUUAUUUUUCUGAUUUUUGUAAAGGCAACGAAGGAUCAGUGAAUUUUUUUUACUUUAUGUAAAAUUGAACUGAUUUAUUUGAAAACUCAUAAUCAUAGAAUGAAUUGGUUCUAUAUUUAAAAUUCAAACGGUUUUCCUCAAGUAGGUUAGCAUAAAAGUUUUUUUUACUGCAAACUUUGUUUUGUUGAAUAAUAGUUUUUAUAAUAUAAAUACAGAUAUGUUUAUAAAUAUACAGUGGUUUUGUUGACCGUCCUGAAAGCUUGAAGUUCCUUGUACAGAUUGCAUUUGUGCUUCUUUAUUCCCGUGCAAAUUAUUUUCUACUGCUUGGUGUCAACUUUUGAUCAAACAAAAUUAGACUUUAUUCUAUAGCUAUUAGGGUUGGUUUUGGCUUCCUCAGACUUUAAGAGAAGAAGGGUGCUUUCGGGGCAUGUUAUACUCUUAUGAUUAGAAAAAUAAUUUUUGAUCUCCCAUCGCAAAAUUAGGGGCAUUUUAUUGCUUCUUAGUUCAAUUAUUAUUUUGUUUUUGGGAAUAAGGACUAAUAAAUAUAUAGAUUUGUCCAUCAUUUAUCAACAAAAGUGGACACCAAGUUUAACCGAAUAUUAUGUGAUAAAAAUACAUACAUAUAUUGUGUUAUUUAUGUAUGGCGAUGUUGUGUUUUCCAUUUAGUUUAAUCAAUUAGAUUAAGGUUUAAUAUGCUUUGGUUUUGGGUAAAUACAAAUUGAUGGUUCUUAAGAACACGGACGGGCAAACUUGUAUGUGAGAUAUUUUGUAAAAAAAAUCGAGCUAUGCUUUUUAUUUUGCAAAUUUUGAAAGUAUGAGGUGCUUGAAAUUUUCUGAAAGGAUUGUUUUUGCAAAUGAGUCAGUCAUACAGCAUUUUAAUGUUAGAAUUUAAUUUUGAAAUGAAUGAAGAUUUGUGUGUCUGGAAGUCCACCUGGGAAAAGGCUAGGCGGAUAGUGAAUCAUGAAAGUAAUCAAAGUUUGCCCGAUCUGUGUCCUGAUUCAAUUUAAGUGGAAAGUUUCGAACAAAAUGUCAAACGAUUUGUGUUUGUAAGCAAAAAUGAUGGACGCUGCAUGGAAUUGAAUAAAAUUUUGUUUUAAAA
Molecule: RNA transcript, 4755 nt
Organism: Helicoverpa zea (corn earworm)
Lineage: Eukaryota; Metazoa; Arthropoda; Insecta; Lepidoptera; Noctuidae
Gene name: nicalin-1
Exons: 11
Source: RefSeq, a predicted model, not a curated record